CUGGAGGUAUCAGAAGUGCGAAUGCUGACAUGAGUAACGACAAAGGGGGUGAAAAACCUCCUCGCCGGAAGACCAAGGGUUCCUGUCCAACGUUAAUCGGGGCAGGGUGAGUCGACCCCUAAGGUGAGGCCGAAAGGCGUAAUCGAUGGGAAACGGGUUAAUAUUCCCGUACUUCUGACUAUUGCGAUGGGGGGACGGAGAAGGCUAGGUGGGCCAGGCGACGGUUGUCCUGGUUCAAGUGCGUAGGCUUGAGAGUUAGGUAAAUCCGGCUCUCUCUAAGGCUGAGACACGACGUCGAGCUACUACGGUAGUGAAGUCAUUGAUGCCAUGCUUCCAGGAAAAGCCUCUAAGCUUCAGAUAGUCAGGAAUCGUACCCCAAACCGACACAGGUGGUCGGGUAGAGAAUACCAAGGCGCUUGAGAGAACUCGGGUGAAGGAACUAGGCAAAAUGGUACCGUAACUUCGGGAGAAGGUACGCUCUUGAUGGUGAAGUCCCUCGCGGAUGGAGCUGACGAGAGUCGCAGAUACCAGGUGGCUGCAACUGUUUAUUAAAAACACAGCACUGUGCAAAAUCGCAAGAUGACGUAUACGGUGUGACGCCUGCCCGGUGCCGGAAGGUUAAUUGAUGGGGUUAGCGCAAGCGAAGCUCUUGAUCGAAGCCCCGGUAAACGGCGGCCGUAACUAUAACGGUCCUAAGGUAGCGAAAUUCCUUGUCGGGUAAGUUCCGACCUGCACGAAUGGCGUAAUGAUGGCCACGCUGUCUCCACCCGAGACUCAGUGAAAUUGAAAUCGCUGUGAAGAUGCAGUGUACCCGCGGCUAGACGGAAAGACCCCGUGAACCUUUACUACAGCUUGGCACUGAACAUUGAACCUACAUGUGUAGGAUAGGUGGGAGGCUAUGAAGACGUGACGCCAGUUGCGUUGGAGCCGUCCUUGAAAUACCACCCUUGUAUGUUUGAUGUUCUAACUUAGACCCAUUAUCUGGGUUGAGGACAGUGCCUGGUGGGUAGUUUGACUGGGGCGGUCUCCUCCCAAAGAGUAACGGAGGAGCACGAAGGUGGGCUAAUCACGGUUGGACAUCGUGAGGUUAGUGCAAUGGCAUAAGCCCGCUUAACUGCGAGAAUGACGGUUCGAGCAGGUGCGAAAGCAGGUCAUAGUGAUCCGGUGGUUCUGUAUGGAAGGGCCAUCGCUCAACGGAUAAAAGGUACUCCGGGGAUAACAGGCUGAUACCGCCCAAGAGUUCAUAUCGACGGCGGUGUUUGGCACCUCGAUGUCGGCUCAUCACAUCCUGGGGCUGAAGUCGGUCCCAAGGGUAUGGCUGUUCGCCAUUUAAAGUGGUACGCGAGCUGGGUUUAGAACGUCGUGAGACAGUUCGGUCCCUAUCUGCCGUGGGCGUUGGAAGAUUGAAGGGGGCUGCUCCUAGUACGAGAGGACCGGAGUGGACGAACCUCUGGUGUUCGGGUUGUGUCGCCAGACGCAUUGCCCGGUAGCUAAGUUCGGAAUUGAUAAGCGCUGAAAGCAUCUAAGCGCGAAGCGAGCCCUGAGAUGAGUCUUCCCUGACAGUUUAACUGUCCUAAAGGGUUGUUCGAGACUAGAACGUUGAUAGGCAGGGUGUGUAAGCGUUGUGAGGCGUUGAGCUAACCUGUACUAAUUGCCCGUGAGGCUUAACCAUACAACACCCAAGGGGUUUUGUA
This 1694-nucleotide ribosomal RNA is filed under the name Vibrio cholerae. RNAcentral's name for it is "partial 23S ribosomal RNA". It matches the Rfam family "Bacterial large subunit ribosomal RNA", at positions 1273 to 2925 of the family's 2925-position model. The record is from RNAcentral. Lineage: Bacteria; Pseudomonadati; Pseudomonadota; Gammaproteobacteria; Vibrionales; Vibrionaceae.